This 500-nucleotide ribosomal RNA is filed under the name uncultured bacterium. RNAcentral's name for it is "partial 16S ribosomal RNA". It matches the Rfam family "Bacterial small subunit ribosomal RNA", at positions 899 to 1397 of the family's 1533-position model. The record is from RNAcentral.
ACUCAAAUGAAUUGACGGGGGCCCGCACAAGCGGUGGAGCAUGUGGUUUAAUACGUCACAAACCGUAGAACCUUACCAAGGCUUGACAUCUGGCGCACCGACAUGAAAGUGUCGUUCUCGCAAGAGACGCCAAGACAGGUGUUGCAUGGCUGUCGUCAGCUCGUGUCGUGAGAUGUUGGGUUAAGUCCCGCAACGAGCGCAACCCUCAUCCCCUGUUGCCAGCGAGUAAAGUCGGGAACUCUGGGGAAACUGCCGGUGCAAGCCGGAGGAAGGUGAGGACGACGUCAAGUCAGCAUGGCCCUUACGCCUUGGGCUACACACAUGCUACAAUGGACGGUAAACAGAGGGAACCGAAGCCGCGAGGUGGGGGCAAUCUCAGAAAUCCGUUCUCAGUUCGGAUUGCAGGCUGCAACUCGCCUGCAUGAAGCCGGAAUCGCUAGUAAACGCAGAUCAGCGAAGCUGCGUUGAAUUCGUUCCCGGGCCUUGUACACACCGCCCGU